GCCCUAGUAGCUUAGAUAAAGCACCGGCCUUGUAAGCCGGAGAUCGGAGGUUAAAAUCCCCCCUAGUGCU
RNAcentral lists this transfer RNA (70 nucleotides) under Heterotis niloticus (African bonytongue). Its description in RNAcentral is "tRNA-Thr". It matches the Rfam family "tRNA". Rfam says of the family: Transfer RNA (tRNA) molecules are approximately 80 nucleotides in length. The record is from RNAcentral. Lineage: Eukaryota; Metazoa; Chordata; Actinopteri; Osteoglossiformes; Osteoglossidae.